AUGACGGUGUUACUGAUGAUGAUGAUGAUGAUGAUGAUGAUGAUGAUGAUUAUAACGAUAAUAAUGAUGAUGAGGACGACGAGACAACGGUCACCACUGCAGCUGAACCUUAAGAGGAAUUAAGGGAACAUUUUCUGUUACGCUUUAUAUGAGGGUACAAGAAACACAUUGGUUGCUAUGCUAAACUAUUUCAGAGAACCGUAUUCCGAGAAUACUCUCACAUAAUUUUCUCAAGAGUCCAUUGUGAUCCAAGUCUAUUUGUGUUUUAUAUCGAGUUAUUAGAUAUAACAAAAUUAGUUGAUGAAUAUAAAUUGUUUAUUCGGACAUGAGUAAUUAAUUUACUUUCAAUAUAUAAAAGAUUUCCAGUGAAGUUAUUAUUGCAGGAAAUCUUUUCAUAGAAUGUGCAAUAAUGUAAAAUUUUGUAAACUAUGAGAAUUCAAUAAAAACUGAUAAAUUUAAUAAUAAGUUAAAACUGUUGCUGUUCCCAUGAGAUUUAUAAGAAAGAAUUUAAAAUCUGUUGGCAAUGAGUUCUCAUAUUAUUUAUUACAAUAUUUUGUCAGGCAAAGUUUUGAUUUUCGGUAGACGGCGGUGAAGUGAAAGAAAGGAGACGAAAGACGCGACGCAAGACGGGCGGGCUUUUUUUCAUUUCGGGCGAGACGAUGUCAAGGAACCUAGUCCCAGUCUCGGAGAGCGAAACGGGGGCUUUCGGACAAAACUGCAACGAACCGCAGAGUCAAGAGAGAUGACCGUGAAGAGCGCGUUUCGUACAUGUACAUGUAUCGUUUCUCCUUGUCUCUUUCCCCUUCACUCUUCUCUCGAGUCGCGUAAAUUUCGUUGUGCGGUGAAUCGUGGGCGCGCGCAUCGUACGAACGCGAGCGCUCUGUGACCUCGGCGUGUCUCGGUGCGUUUCGCGCCUCGCCGAGAGGCAAGGGAGACGGUCGGGCGGUCUCGCACGCUGGCGGAACCGACCGACGAGGAUACGGCCCUGCGUGCCAACCGUAAGCCACCCGUCUGGUCGGGAGCACACGCACCCGCGUCCUUCUGACGGCGCGGCGCGGACCGACGGUGCGCGAGCGAGAGCGAGAAUGCGUCGGCUGGUUGGCUCGCUCUCGCUCUGCAGAAACCUGUUCGGCUCGGAACUUUUCUACUUUCUUGGCGAUUAUUUUUAUCUGCUGAGAAUCGCACGCACGCACGCAGGCAGGCUGGCCGGCCGGCUGGCUGGCCGGCCGGCCGGGUGCCGCGCGCGCCAUGCCACGUUGCGCCGCAUCCGCGUCGCGUCGACUCUGCCGGAAGCGGGCCGUCCUGGAAACUAUCAACGGCCGGACGAACGGAUGACCGGCCGACCGCGCUCUCGCCGCAAAAAUUCAAUUCUCGAGCACCAUCGUUGCACGCUGUACUGCGCGCCUUCCUUUCCCCGUUUAUCUUUCUCUCUCUUUCUCUCGUCUCUUUUCUCUGGUCGCUUUCGCGCGCGCUCCUUCUCUCAACCCUCUCACGUCGUCUUUGUCUCGCCGUUUCCUCUCCGCGUCCGUCUCUGUCUUUCUCCCAUUCUCCGUCUCGAUUCCUCGCGCGCCUCCCGGCCGCGCACCGUUCGACCGUCUGCGCCGUUCAGACAAUGCACUUUUUGCACGGCCCUCUCGCCAUUGUCGUGGGAGGUUGAAAUUUAAGCGACGCGCCGGCGAUUCUUCGCGAUUCGCAUUUUCGGCAGCUCGCGCCCGCACGACGACCACGACAAAGUUACGAGCGCGACAGCGAGUUAUUUGCGCGCAUUUACAUAUUCGCACGUGCGUCUCGCGGUACGUGAGCGCGUUGCAUUUGGCACUCCGGCACCGACGGGCAAGUCGUGCAACGCGAAAUGCGCGUGCUCACUUUGAUGUAUAUUUUAUUAAUAUAAUACAGAAUUAAUAAUGUGUGAUUACGACAAAAAUAUUUAGUCCUUUGCUUAUGUCAAUUUCGAAAGCUUAUAUCAGUGCUAAUGAAUUAAUUGCCAAAAUUAAUUAUUAUAAAAAAAUGGCGCACGCAUGAUAGAGUUUCUCGUUGUAGCAUGUCUUGAGAAUUAUCGUAUUGUAUUAAUAUUAUCAUGGAUUUAGCUCGCGCGCCCGAAAAGCAAAACAUCGAAUUUUUUUUUGGUUCCCCUUCGGACAAACAGGUUUCGUCUGUCUCAAACAUUUGGCGAGUUUGAAGUCACGCAGUUUGUACCUCUUUGUUUUUCCCCAAUGUAAACUUGUAGUACUGUAAACGAAAAUAAAGGUAAUGUUAAAUUUAAUUCCGAAUGUUGUCAGAGAGAAAGCCAGUUUUUAAAUAUAUACGCCCUAAAUUUAGCAUGUUUCUCGUCAAUUAAUUAAUGUGAUUGGUUAAAUAACAUUUAUACAUGAAGCGUUGGACUUUAGGAUCAAAUAUACAUUCUGUGGUAUAAUUUUUCAUCGAUUUUUUAGUAAAUUAUUAUAAAUUAUUAUUAUAUUAAAUAUCGCUAUUUCUGUAACAUUAACAGUUUUAUCGUAGAAAUAAUCUUUAUAAAUACGCGCAUAAAAAUGAUGUCUAUACUUUUAUUUGCAGUUAACUUUACAUAUUUUUAUAUAUUCCAUACCAAGAAUUUUAUUCAACAAUUUUACUUAUAUUUCAAGUAUUCGCUAUCGAUUGAUCAUUAUGCCUCGAAUUUCCGCUGUACGACGAUUCAAAAUGAUGGCCGCACAGAAGAAAAGAAGGAGAAAAACGCGCGCAAAAUUUUGCCCGAUACAAAUUCUGUUGUUCCAAGAAGAGUACGCGUAACUUCCGGUUGCGAAACUAUUGGUUACGGUUACCCGGAAACCGAAUAAUUCCAGUUAUUCUAACCAUACGGAAAAAAUGAAUACUCAUUUUACCCCGCGACACGCAUGGUAUCGCACCGAAUCGUGAUUCGCUGUCCCACGCUGUAUACUUCAAACAAAACGCAGUUUUGAUGCGCGCGGUGUACGAUACCACACAUUGCGUUCAAACGAUGCGAAAUAUUGCGUAACAAUUAUUGUAAUACAUCCUCGAGUCUCGAUCGAUACGAUUGGAGAAAAUUUCACAAACUAAAUCAAUACUACGCGAUGAUUAAUGAAAUACCGAGAUCUUUUGCAGGCCAAUUAAGAAAUACACACGCGCGCGCGCGCAUACACGCACCUCGAGCCAUGUGCGACGCAUCGAGCGAACUCGCGGCCGGCGCGGCAGCUGAGAGAGAACGAGGAGGAUUUUUUCCGACGACAAUACUUAAUGACCGCGCCGCGCAGGUUCGGUUUGUUUCCCACGUUAAUAUCGGCGAUCCGCACGACGAGCAAGCAGUGCAGACAGCAAGGAAGAUUUUUCUCAGGAGGGGCCCGCCCUCCGCCUCUCCGCGAGCGGACCGGCAUAAACAGCGUAGCAUUAACGUGGGGCCCCAACAGACCCCCAGCGAGUCGCACUGUCUUCCCGUCGCUCUCCUUCGCGAAACUCGUUUCUGCCGCUGAGAGAAAUUCUCCCUUUUUCGCGGAUAAAUAGGGGUAAACCUGUAUUGCAGGACAAUAAUACCACCGCCCGGCGGAACAGCCGCGCGUAACCCGGACGAAGGGAGGAGGGAGCGAGAGAGAAGUAGAGAGUGGCAAGGGGAUACCACGGGGUACCGCGGUCCCUUCGGGGGGUCGUUGGACCAGGGCGCUAGGUGGAUUAUCAUAAUAAAGGCCGCCUAAAUGUUAUCUCGUAUUAAGUCAUACUUUUGUUUUCCUCUUACGCUCUGGGAACUACGUACUCUUACGCACGUAGUAAAGGGAAGUGCGCGCGCGAGAUUCUUUAUUUUUGCGCGACGCACCCGGUAGAACCCGAGAACCCGGGCGUAUACUCUCCCGGGGUCGGACGAGUCGAAUUGCACGACGUCGUGGAUACAAACGCGGGAGAUCCUCCGGGAAUCGAGACUCUGAGAGGUCUUCGUUCACCGGAUGACCUUGGAUCCAGACCGAAAGAAGUUUCCGAAACUUGGAAGAACUCGUUUUAGGUUAGCCGGAAGGUUAGCGCGGGAAUUUCGAAGGCACAUCGGAAAUUUCUUCGGCGUUGAUGCGCAGCCUGUCGACGUUUCGUUAGAAUGCGAGACACAAAAAGAAUUUUAAUUUUAAUUUUAAUUUAAUUUUAAUUUAUUCAAUGAACGGGAAGAUCAUAAGCAGGAUAACAAUGAACGUAAAUAAUCAAAUAAGCAACACAAUAAUCCAAAUCGCAAACUCCAGAACAGAAAAGUUCAAAAUCGAGUGAAAGCAGGAUAAAGAAAAAAGGAAUUAUGCCAACCAAAUAUCCUGAUUAAAGUCGUUAAAAAAGACAAAUAAAUUCCAUUGCACACAAAGAAUAAAAAUACAGCCUAAUAAAAUUAAUUAAACGCAUGUAACUUAAACUUAAUAAACGCAUAUAAAGACAACUAAAUUCAAUUGCACACAAAGAAUAAAAAUACAGCCUAAUAAAAUUAAUUAAACGCAUGUAACUUAAACUUAAUAAACGCAUAUAAAGACAACUAAAUUCAAUUGCACACAAAGAAUAAAGAUACAGCCUAAUAAAAUUAAUUAAACGCAUGUAACUUAAACUUAAUAAACGCAUAUAGCAAGUAAAAAAGUCCAAGAACGCAAUACAACAUUAAGGCAAGACAGAUGCAAAUACGAACGCAACGUAUGCAAAA
This 4651-nucleotide long non-coding RNA is filed under the name Ooceraea biroi (clonal raider ant). RNAcentral describes it as "uncharacterized LOC113561718". The record is from RNAcentral. Lineage: Eukaryota; Metazoa; Arthropoda; Insecta; Hymenoptera; Formicidae.